UGAGUUUGUUUUAUCGUAACCUGUAGAGACUGUCGAGGACACAUGCAUUGUGUCGCUUUGUACUUGCGGGUUCACUUCAAUAAGACAACUUGGGAGACAAGAACAACACCACCUGUAAACUCGUGGACUUCUGCCAGAACUCCCCAGACCGUCCAUGCAUUACAUUGCAUUCGGUUUUUUUUUUUUGGUUUUUGUUUAGAUAAGCUACUCACAAAAAGUUUGGAUUUUUUUUUCUCCAGUGACAAUUCCAGAUGAACCCAAAUCGCAUUGUAACCUUCACAGGUGAACUUCAUUUGACCUUUUGAAUGUCCAACUGUUCAAUCUUUCAGUGCGUUUUGCACAAAUUGCUGUUCAACAACAACGAUCUGCACGGCAAAACCUUGAUGCGACUCUUCCAGUUUCACUGUAUCUCAGUUGUCCAAAAUCCCUAACUUUUUGUGAGUCGUGUCUGUUGAGUGUGUGUUAUUCUGCUUUUGUUAAAAAUAAGUCAUAAAAAUUAUGUAUUUUUUCAAAAAAUAAA
This is a long non-coding RNA of Hippocampus comes (tiger tail seahorse), 520 nucleotides long. RefSeq lists it as uncharacterized. The transcript is spliced from 2 exons. The record is from RefSeq and is a predicted model, not a curated record. Lineage: Eukaryota; Metazoa; Chordata; Actinopteri; Syngnathiformes; Syngnathidae.